UAACUCAUGAAGGCCUUAUUAGAGCUGGCUCAGCCUAUCUUGCACGUAUUGAAGCUCUCACGGUUAAGUUUGGCUAGAAUUAGUUAGCAGAAUCGGGCUGGUGUUCUCGUGCCUCGGAAGCUGGAGGAAGGGCUGCCAGAGAAGCUGCAAGCUUUGCAGUUAAUAAGAUAGGAGUUCCAAAUGUGGUCAUCCUUAGCUACAACAGAAGUGUAUUUGAUUUCUUGCUAAAGACUUACUGGUGUAGAUUGGGGUACCAAAUGUAAAAGACUUAUCUGACAGUUUUAACUGUACUAAUAAGCAAGCCAAUUCUCUUCCCAAACAUCUUAGAUAUUCAGAUUUAACUCUGAAAACAUGCGCAUCAAUGGAUAAGAGAAUUGGCGUGUUAAACUUGACUGUAAUGUGCAAACUGUUCCUUCAGCAAGAUAACCUAAUAUAUACAUAUAUGUUUAGCAUUGAAUUAGAGCCAAACAUUGUUGUAUUUCAA
Papaver somniferum (opium poppy) is the source of this 484-nucleotide long non-coding RNA. RefSeq lists it as uncharacterized. Lineage: Eukaryota; Viridiplantae; Streptophyta; Magnoliopsida; Ranunculales; Papaveraceae. The record is from RefSeq and is a predicted model, not a curated record. The transcript has 2 exons.